This 402-nucleotide ribosomal RNA is filed under the name uncultured Sphingomonas sp. RNAcentral describes it as "partial 16S ribosomal RNA". It matches the Rfam family "Bacterial small subunit ribosomal RNA", at positions 355 to 774 of the family's 1533-position model. Lineage: Bacteria; Pseudomonadati; Pseudomonadota; Alphaproteobacteria; Sphingomonadales; Sphingomonadaceae. The record is from RNAcentral.
UGGGGAAUAUUGGACAAUGGGCUAAAGCCUGAUCCAGCAAUGCCGCGUGAGUGAUGAAGGCCUUAGGGUUGUAAAGCUCUUUUACCCGGGAUGAUAAUGACAGUACCGGGAGAAUAAGCUCCGGCUAACUCCGUGCCAGCAGCCGCGGUAAUACGGAGGGAGCUAGCGUUGUUCGGAAUUACUGGGCGUAAAGCGCACGUAGGCGGCUUUGUAAGUCAGAGGUGAAAGCCUGGAGCUCAACUCCAGAACUGCCUUUGAGACUGCAUCGCUUGAAUCCAGGAGAGGUGAGUGGAAUUCCGAGUGUAGAGGUGAAAUUCGUAGAUAUUCGGAAGAACACCAGUGGCGAAGGCGGCUCACUGGACUGGUAUUGACGCUGAGGUGCGAAAGCGUGGGGAGCAAACA